AAAUUUAGGUUAUCAAACCAAGAGCCUUCAAAGCCCUAAACAGAACAAACGUUCUAAUUUCUG
This 63-nucleotide transfer RNA is filed under the name Lygodactylus methueni (Woodbrush dwarf gecko). Its description in RNAcentral is "tRNA-Trp". Lineage: Eukaryota; Metazoa; Chordata; Lepidosauria; Squamata; Gekkonidae. The record is from RNAcentral.